RNAcentral lists this ribosomal RNA (268 nucleotides) under uncultured Spirochaeta sp. Its description in RNAcentral is "partial 16S ribosomal RNA". It matches the Rfam family "Bacterial small subunit ribosomal RNA", at positions 1114 to 1382 of the family's 1533-position model. The record is from RNAcentral. Lineage: Bacteria; Pseudomonadati; Spirochaetota; Spirochaetia; Spirochaetales; Spirochaetaceae.
GUUGCCAGCAUUUAAGGUGGGGACUCAGAUGAGACUGCCGGUGACAAACCGGAGGAAGGUGGGGACGACGUCAAGUCAUCAUGGCCCUUAUGUCCUGGGCUACACACGUGCUACAAUGGCCGGUACAGAGUGAAGCGAAACCGCGAGGUGAAGCAAAACGCAGAAAGCCGGUCUCAGUACGGAUUGGAGUCUGAAACUCGACUUCAUGAAGUUGGAAUCGCUAGUAAUCGCGCAUCAGCAUGGCGCGGUGAAUACGUUCCCGGGCCUU